RNAcentral lists this ribosomal RNA (1710 nucleotides) under Scopelarchoides danae. RNAcentral describes it as "16S ribosomal RNA". It matches the Rfam family "Bacterial large subunit ribosomal RNA". The record is from RNAcentral. Lineage: Eukaryota; Metazoa; Chordata; Actinopteri; Aulopiformes; Scopelarchidae.
GCCUAACAGCUAGCCCACUAAAUUAAACCAAAAUCCCCCUAUUUAUAAUUUUCUACCACCUAAAAAGAUUAAACAAAUCAUUUUUCCCCCUAAGUACGUGCGACGGAAAAGGAGAUACAGGAGCAACAGACAAAGUACCGUAAGGGAACGCUGAAAAAGAAAUGAAACAACCCUCUUAAGCCCCAAAAAGCAGAGAUUAAUCCUCGUACCUUUUGCAUCAUGAUUAAGCCAGUACACUAAAGCAAAGCGCCCUUUAGUUUUUUACCCCGAAACUAGACGAGCUACUCCGAGACCGCCUACAAGUUUAGGGCUUAUCCGUCUCUGUGGCAAAAGAGUGGAGAGAUCUCCGAGUAGAGGUGAAAGACCUACCGAGUUUAGUUAUAGCUGGUUGCCUAGGAAAUGAAUAGAAGUUCAGCCCUCUGCACACCCCACCUCGAUUUUUUACUUAACACAUCGACCCUGAGGUUAAAAGAGGCGUUAGUCAAAGAAGGUUCAGCUUCUUUGAACAAAGACACAACUUUUAAAGGAGGAUAAAGAUCAUAAUUUAUAAGGAGCAGUUGUUCUAGUGGGCCUAAAAGCAGCCACCUACACCAAAAGCGUUACAGCUUAUACAAAAUCUUUGCCCCUCAAUCAGGACUUAAUUAUCUUAUUCCCCUACAACUACUAGGCUACUUCAUGCCCCCAUGAAAGAAACCCUGCUUAAAUUAGUAAUAAGAGGGGACGACCCUCUCCUUGCACCAGUGUAUGUCGGAUUGGACUCACCCCCGACUAUUAACGACCCCAUAACCAGAGGGAACAAAGACACCCUCCCGGCACAAGCCGAGAAAAACACUUUAUAGUUAUCGUUAACCCCACACCGGAGUGCUUUAAGGGAAAGACUAAAAGAUAGGAAAGGAACUCGGCAAACACAAGCCUCGCCUGUUUACCAAAAACAUCGCCUCUUGCAUAAAACGAAUAAGAGGUCCUGCCUGCCCCGUGACUAUGGGUUUAACGGCCGCGGUAUUUUGACCGUGCGAAGGUAGCGCAAUCACUUGUCCUUUAAAUGAGGACCCGUAUGAAUGGCAAGACGAGGGCCUAGCUGUCUCCCCUAUCCAGUCAAUGAAAUUGAUCCCCCCGUGCAGAAGCGGGGAUAGCCUCAUAAGACGAGAAGACCCUAUGGAGCUUAAGGCAGUAGGACGGCCCGUAUAAACAGCUCACCACAAAUGAACUAGACCCUAGCGAUACACCUCCGUUCCCAUGCCUUUGGUUGGGGCGACCAUGGGGAAAAGAAAAACCCCCAUGAGGACUGAGGGCCUCUUAAACACCACCCUCCUAGCCGAGAGCCUACCACUCUAAGCAUCAAAACAUUUGACCUUCGUGAUCCGACGUACGCGUCGAUCCACGAACCGAGUUACCCUAGGGAUAACAGCGCAAUCCCCUCCAAGAGCCCUUAUCGACGAGGGGGUUUACGACCUCGAUGUUGGAUCAGGACAUCCUAAUGGUGCAGCCGCUAUUAAGGGUUCGUUUGUUCAACGAUUAAAGUCCUACGUGGAUCUGAGUUCAGACCGGAGUAAUCCAGGUCAGUUUCUAUCUAUGCCUUGCUCUUUUCUAGUACGAAAGGACCGAGAAGGAGGGGCCCAUGUUACUCACACGCCCCACCCCCACCUGAAGAAAUCAACUAAAACAAGCAAGAGGGCAAACCCCCUAGCCUGUGCCAGAAAUAAUGGCAUU